GGUGAAAGUGUUUGGAGACGGGAACCUGCGUGUAGCAGUCGCUGGUCAGCGGUGGACCUUCAGCCCCUCCUGCCUGGUGGCCUACCGGCCCGAGGAGGAUGCCAACCUGGACGUGGCCGAGCGCGCCCGGGAGAACAAAAGCUCACUGAGCGUGGCCCUGGACAAGCUUCGGGCCCAGAAGAGUGACCCAGAGCACCCGGGAAGGCUGGUGGUGGAGGUGGCGCUGGGUAACGCAGCCCGGGCUCUGGACCUGCUGCGGAGGCGCCCAGAGCAGGUGGACACCAAGAACCAAGGCAGGACCGCUCUGCAAGUGGCUGCCUACCUGGGCCAGGUGGAGUUGAUACGGCUGCUGCUACAAGCCAGGGCGGGCGUGGACCUGCCGGACGACGAGGGCAACACGGCACUGCACUACGCGGCCCUGGGGUGAGGCCUGGGAGGGGCCCGGCCGGCGGGGCUGAGCCUGUGCGUCCUGGGGUGAGGCCUGGGAGGGGCCCGGCCGGCGGGGCUGAGCCUGUGCGUCCUGGGGUGAGGCCUGGGAGGGGCCCGGCGGGGCUGAGCCUGUGCGUCCUGGGGUCGGGCCUGGCGGGGCUGAGCCUGUGCGUCCAGCCACCGGGCCCGGCGCCCUCCCUCUCCCACUUCCUCUCCUGUCAGGAACCAGCCCGAGGCCACCAGGGUGCUCCUGAGUGCUGGGUGCCGGGCGGACGCCAUCAACAGCACCCAGAGCACAGCACUGCACGUGGCCGUGCAGAGGGGCUUCCUGGAGGUGGUGCGGGCCCUGUGUGAGCGCGGCUGUGACGUCAACCUGCCCGUGAGUGCUGCUCCCUGGCCUGGGUGCCCCCUGCCCGUGAGUGCUUGUCCCUGGCCUGGGUUCCCUCUGCCCAUGUGUGCUGCUCCCUGGCCUGGGUGCCCCCUGCCCGUGAGUGCUGCUCCCUGGGUGCCCUGGCUCUUGACCCAAGCAGAAGUCACCCCCAGGUGACCACUGACUCCGCCCCAGCAGGACGCCCACUCGGACACGCCCCUGCACUCCGCCAUCUCGGCGGGCACUGGAGCCAGCGGCAUUGUCGAGGUCCUCACGGAGGUGCCAAACAUCGAUGUUACCGCCACCAACAGCCAGGGUUUCACCCUGCUGCACCAUGCCUCCCUCAAGGGUCACGCGCUGUGAGUGUGGGGUGGGCACACAGCUGCAGCCGGCCUCUUGCUGUGCUGCCUGGGGGCAGUCCCAGGUCCCAGACCAACCUCCCUGCUCCACAGAGCUGUGAGAAAGAUUCUGGCUCGGGCGCGGCAGCUGGUGGACGCCAAGAAGGAGGACGGCUUCACGGCGCUGCAUCUGGCUGCCCUCAACAACCACCGCGAGGUGGCCCAGAUCCUCAUCCGGGAGGGCCGCUGUGACGUGAACGUGCGCAACCGGAAGCUGCAGUCCCCGCUGCAUCUCGCCGUGCAACAGGCCCACGUGGGGCUGGUGCCGCUACUGGUGGACGCUGGGUGCAGUGUCAACGCCGAGGACGAGGAGGGGGACACAGCCCUGCACGUGGCGCUGCAGCGUCAUCAGCUGCUGCCCCUGGUGGCUGAUGGGGCCGGGGGGGACCCAG
Molecule: long non-coding RNA, 1589 nt
Filed under: Homo sapiens (human)
Lineage: Eukaryota; Metazoa; Chordata; Mammalia; Primates; Hominidae
Description: HSALNT0000475
Source: RNAcentral